GAUGAACGCUGGCGGCGUGCCUAAUACAUGCAAGUCGAACGAACGGACGAGAAGCUGUCUUCUCUGAUUUUAUCGGCGGACGGGUGAGUAACACGUGGAUAACCUACCUAUAAGACUGGGGUAACUUCGGGAAACCGUGGCUAAUACCGGAUGAUAUUUUGAACCGCAUUGUUCAAAAGUGAAAGACGGUCGUUCUGUCGCUUAUAGAUGGAUCCGCGCUGCAUUAGCUAGUUGGUAAGGUAACGGCUUACCAAGGCAACGAUGCAUAGCCGACCUGAGAGGGUGAUCCGCCACACUGGAACUGAGACACGGUCCAGACUCUUACGCGAGGAAGCAGUAGGGAAUCCUCCGCAAUGCGCGAAAGCCUGACGGAGCACCGCCGCGUGAGUGAUGAAGGUCUUCGGCUCGUAAAACUCUGAUAUUAGGGAAGAACAUAUGUGUAAGUACCUGUGAACAUCUUGACGGUACCUAAUCAGAAAGCCCCGGCUAACUACGUG
RNAcentral lists this ribosomal RNA (497 nucleotides) under uncultured bacterium. RNAcentral describes it as "partial 16S ribosomal RNA". It matches the Rfam family "Bacterial small subunit ribosomal RNA", at positions 28 to 507 of the family's 1533-position model. The record is from RNAcentral.